GUGAAUCAUCAAAUUUUUGAACGCAAAUUGCACUCUCCGGUUUUCCGGGAGAUUAUGGCUGGUUGAGGGUCAGCCUAAAUAAAAUCGGCUUAGUUGGUUGCUGUGUUUUUCACGGUAACGUUGGUCUUAAUUUGUGUCAUCUUAAACGGAAAGUAUUUUAAUCUACUUAAAAUUUUCUUACGAUCUCGCGAACGUUUCUAAGAUUUU
RNAcentral lists this unclassified non-coding RNA (207 nucleotides) under Glomus sp. Its description in RNAcentral is "partial contains 5.8S ribosomal RNA and internal transcribed spacer 2". The stretch from base 1 to 72 matches the Rfam family "5.8S ribosomal RNA", at positions 84 to 154 of the family's 154-position model. The record is from RNAcentral. Lineage: Eukaryota; Fungi; Glomeromycota; Glomeromycetes; Glomerales; Glomeraceae.